Non-coding RNA from Myotis lucifugus (little brown bat), 75 nucleotides. Lineage: Eukaryota; Metazoa; Chordata; Mammalia; Chiroptera; Vespertilionidae. The record is from Rfam.
GGUGGUUACUGGGUGACACACCCAGGAAUUGGGCUCCCUCCUCUCUGGUUCCGGGUGGAUCACCCGAGAACCGCA